This is a long non-coding RNA of Onthophagus taurus, 390 nucleotides long. RefSeq lists it as uncharacterized. Lineage: Eukaryota; Metazoa; Arthropoda; Insecta; Coleoptera; Scarabaeidae. The record is from RefSeq and is a predicted model, not a curated record.
CUUCAAAAAAACAUUCAUGAGUUAUUGUGCAACGAAUUUCUUUAGUGUUCGCUACAUAAAAAAAGAAAAAUGAGUAAAUUUACUUUUAUAAUUCUUGUAAUGGUUUUAUGGACGUGUUUAAUCACAGCUCACCCAUUACCAGAUAAUGAAAAAUCUGAUUUAGUUCAAACUAAACUUGCAACGGAAACUUCCAAAACAGAUGAAGCUACAUCUAAAAUACGUAAAAAACGUGGUUUCUUCGAAUCAUACAGACACUGGAAAAAGUUUAGAGCAGCAUCUAAUUUUGCCGCAGUUGUGGGUUAAUAAAAUCGAUUAUUUAUAACUACAACUAUGUUCUUGUUAUCCUUUUUUGUAACCAUAUUUUUUUAAUAAACAUUUCUUGAAACUCAA